UUCACAACCAUGGAGUAUAACUGAAUUAAAUUACAGGUCAUAUUACUUGGUAUCAUUUACUGUCCAUGUGUUUCUGAUGGAUUUUACUUACUAAAGCACUUUAUGCCCCUUUUCUAACAUCGGCUAAUCCACACAACAUCCUUGUGAAACUGAUAAGUAAUAUCCUUACUUCACAGUCAGAGAUAGAAAGGCUGUAUGGCUUGCCAAAGUAAGCAGAAUACAUUCGGUAUUAGAACUGGCAGUAAUACUUUGGAGUUCCUAGUUAUUUAUCCUACUCUGGAAAAUGUGUAGGAUAUUUGUUGUGUAUGUAAUCUACACUUUGAUUCAAUAAAACUUUUUUCCUGUGUGUAAAUCUCCUCUCUUUCAGGGAUUGCAUAUGACAAGUUCAAAAUUUUUUCCUACUCUAAACUGUACAUAAACAUAAAUCAACUAUCGAAUGCAUGUUGAAAAAAAAUAUUCUUUCUAAAGAAAUACCAAAAUCAUGAGACGUUUGCUUUGGAGUAAAAUGACCUGGGUUUACAUAGGCUGAUUAUCUACAAGUUGUUCAUCGUACUGACAGCUGAUACUCCUGUUUUUCUGUACCUUGCUAUCUUCCUUUCUAUCUUCCGUGAAACAAAGUACUUUCCUCCAAAUUCUAGCAAUAAGAUUCAUUUUUUAAUUGGAUUAAAAAAAAAAAAGCCACCAAAAGCUGGUAAUGGUUAUGUUUGGCAGUCUGACUUAUGCUACCGCCUACAAAUAGGAAUAAUGAACCCCAGCAGGUUCUCAGGAAAGUAACUUGCUGUUAGCCCUCGUAGAUAGUACUCCUGUACAUGAGGGAACUCUAACAAAGAUGCAGAUGAGAUCUGUUUUUCCUGUUAUGUGCUGUGUGUAUACACAUUAUAAUGAUUAUUUAACUUGUGUUGGAAUGCUCCACCUGCUCUCCCAGUGUUUACUGUGACAUCAGAGCCACCUGAAGACACUCCCAUCCCAACCACGUACUCCUCCCAUGCCACGUCCCUGUCUGUCCUCCCCUGUGGUUUUUGAGGCUUUGUUGUGAAUUGGAUCCUUGAAGUGAUCUGGAUGAAAAAUAAACCUUCACUUAAUCUGUCUCUUCCCUUCUGCCUCCACCCAGAGAACUCUCAGCAGUAAACCUUUAGCUAUUUUGGAGUCAGAUCAUUUUGCUGAUCCAGAACAUCAGAACAGCAUGGGCUUUAUUUUCUGCAUCAUCAAAGCACUGCACCUUUUUACAGAAACAGUGGCUAGUCUGCAGCAUCCCUCUGAUAGUCCAUCUGCUGAAUUUCACAGCAAGGAGGAAUUUCAUCAUCUGUAGCAAGGAUGCUGACGGUCCUGGUGCAGGGGUCAAUCAGCAGGGUCUCCUGCUUGAGAUUCAUUUGAGGAGGGACUUGAUGGGUACUUGAUGGCACAGGGAGCCACAGGGAGGAAAGAGAGGAAAAAAGAAGGUAAUUCUCAAAAAAUAGAGACCAGGUUGAUUAGACAGCAGCUCCUUCUGCUCUCGCCUCCUGUCUUCCCUAUUAGUUUAUUCUAUGUCUUUGCUUUUAAGGAUGAUCUCCUACUAUCAGAUAUUUCCUACUCGAGCUUAAAUUGACAAGUUUAUGCCAACUCACUGCAGUUUUGCAAUAUGCUCAGUGAAUCACAAAGGAAAUAAGCUUCUGGCUAUUUCUGGCUUAAAUUUCUUUUGUUGUUUGUGCUUCUUCAGCUAUCUCUGAUUUCUUUCAUGCUUCUCCUGCACUUUGCAA
Molecule: non-coding RNA, 1736 nt
Organism: Meleagris gallopavo (turkey)
Lineage: Eukaryota; Metazoa; Chordata; Aves; Galliformes; Phasianidae
Source: RefSeq, a predicted model, not a curated record